This 258-nucleotide long non-coding RNA is filed under the name Rattus norvegicus (Norway rat). RNAcentral describes it as "long non-coding RNA NONRATT033806". Lineage: Eukaryota; Metazoa; Chordata; Mammalia; Rodentia; Muridae. The record is from RNAcentral.
CUGAAACAUAACUUUACUGCCUUCCAGACGAGAAUGUGACAUUCAUUUUCUAUUAAGAAAUGAGCCCAUUUGAAUUCUGCUUGUUCAACUUUUCUUAACCAGAAGUCCAUUCCUGGAUCCUUCAUCUCUACAAAUCCCAUCGCGAAAUCUUCCCGACAGUCUCACGUUUGAACCAAUGACCCUCAUCUCUUACUGUCAUCAAUUUACUCUUCUUAAUUUCUGUUCUCAUUUUAUUUGUACAAUAUAAUUCAAAACCAG